Molecule: RNA transcript, 1810 nt
Organism: Drosophila obscura
Lineage: Eukaryota; Metazoa; Arthropoda; Insecta; Diptera; Drosophilidae
Gene name: odorant receptor 22a-like
Exons: 4
Source: RefSeq, a predicted model, not a curated record
ACUCAACCUCCUGCCUGUGACUGUUAAAGGUAAAUGUAAAAGGACACCAACUUGAAAUAUUCCCGUGGCAAAGAACAACCACCACAAGCCGGAAGUCUAUAAAGGACACUCAUUCUAUGCUUGCCACAUACUCAAGUACUAACUACGGUCAAGAUGUUGAGCAAGUUGUUCCCGCGCAUCAAAGUCCUGCCAUUGACGGAGAGGACUCGGUCGCGCGAUGCCUUUGUCUACUUGGAUCGAUGUCAAAAGAUUUUCGGCUGGACAGCGCCCGAUAAUAAGAAAUGGAGAAUCCCCUAUAUUAUUUGGGGAAUUUCCCUGAAUAUGCUGCUGAUCUUCCUCCUGCCGAUCUCUAUGUUGGUAUCGUAUAUUCAGAUGUUCAAGAGCUUCACGGCGGGAGAGUUUCUCAGCUCCCUGGAGAUCACGGUGAAUAUGUACGGCUGUGUCUUGAAGUGCCUCUACACUAUUUGGGGCUACAGGGGAUUUAAGGCAGCCAGACGGGUGCUGGAUGACCUGGACCUGCGCUGCACCAGCGACGAGGAACGCUCCAGUGUGCACCGCUGUGUGGCUCUGGGCAACAUGUGCUAUGUGUUCUAUCACAUGGUUUACUCGGGAUUUGUUGUCGUCAGUUGGACCGGCUACAUCCUGAUGGGCAGGCACGCCUGGUUGAUGUACCUCCCUGGGCUGGACCCUGAAAAGAACUUUUUCGUAUCCAGCUUGUGCGAGAUGUUGCUGAUGGGUUCCUGUGUCACCAUGGACCAGUGCACGGAUGUCUCUCCGCUGGCCCACAUGCUGAUGGCUCGCUGUCACAUCGUUCUGCUCAAGGAUCGGUUGAGCAAACUACGUUCCGAUCCCAGCAAAAAUGAGCAGCAACACCAUGAGGAGCUAAGCAAAUGCAUCCAGGACCAUCGCUUGAUACUAGACUAUGUUAAUAAACUGCGGCCCGUCUUCUCGGGCACCAUAUUCGUGCAGUUCCUCUUGAUUGGUAUUGUUCUGGGCCUGUCACUGAUCAACAUCAUGUUCUUUUCCACCCUGUGGACGGGAAUCGGCACCGCGUGCUUCAUGUUCUGUGUGUUGUUGGAAACAUUUCCCUUCUGCUACGUGUGCAACACGAUCAUCGAGGACUGCCGUGAGCUAUCGGAGUGUUUGUUCCAAUCGAAUUGGCUGGCAGCCAAUCGCAAGUACAAGUCCACGCUGAUCUACUUUCUGCACAAUCUACAGCAGCCGAUUGUACUGACAGCGGGUGGAGUUUUUCCUAUCUCCAUGCAAACGAAUCUAUCGAUGGUGAAGCUGGCCUUUUCGGUUGUCACCAUCAUAAGACAAUUCAAUCUGGCCGAUAAGUUUCAGUGAGAGAUGGAACACCACCCAAGGCUCUGGGAUUUUAUUUAAUUUUUAUACAAUACAUAAAGCCAUGGACACCAUUAAUAUUAGUCUGAAGAACUCUGCAAGCCACAAAAUAUAGCUGAAAUUACGUUAUUGAAAGCUAUCAAAUUAAGAGAUAAUAGAGAUAAUUCAUAUUGAAAGAAUAAUUGCUCCUUUUUGAUAUUAAACGAGUUCAGAUUUCUUAUUGCUGAUUAAAAUAAAUGUGUCUGCUGGCUGGUAGAUAAGCAACAAUCAAAGCUUAAGCCACAGACUAGCACAGAGAUACAUUCGGAAUCCUCAUGGUACAGCCCCAUCCUCACUCGCACUCCCCCCCUUUCACUCACAGACUCUCAGCCCACAAACAAAGCCAUAAGUGAUGCCAAAACUUUGCCAUGUCUCAGCAUGAUAGAAAGUUUUUGGCCAGAAACUCUCUUUUGGCCCAUUGACAAAA